UGUCCAGGGAUGGGAAUCGAACCCACAGUGUUCCACUUACCGAGCAGAUGCCAUGUCCACUAGGACAUCUCUAAGGU
This 77-nucleotide transfer RNA is filed under the name Cordylochernes scorpioides. Its description in RNAcentral is "tRNA-Thr". Lineage: Eukaryota; Metazoa; Arthropoda; Arachnida; Pseudoscorpiones; Chernetidae. The record is from RNAcentral.